AUUGAACGCUGGCGGCAUGCUUUACACAUGCAAGUCGAACGGCAGCGGGGAGGAGCUUGCUUCUCUGCCGGCGAGUGGCGCACGGGUGAGUAAUACAUCGGAACUUGUCGAGAAGAGGGGGAUAACCACCCGAACGGGUGGCUAAUACCGCAUAAAUUCUGAGGCAGAAAGCUGGGGACCUAGGAAUAGGCCUAGCGCUUUUUGAGCGGCCGAUGUCGGAUUAGCUAGUUGGUGAGGUAAAGGCUUACCAAGGCGAAGAUCUGUAGCGGGUCUGAGAGGAUGAUCCGCCACACUGGAACUGAGACACGGCCCAGACUCCUACGGGAGGCAGCAGUGGGGAAUUUUGGACAAUGGGGGCAACCCUGAUCCAGCCAUGCCGCGUGUAUGAAGAAGGCCUUAGGGUUGUAAAGUACUUUUGUUAGGGAAGAAAAGUCAGCUGUGAAUAAUGGCUGAUACUGACGGUACCUAAAGAAUAAGCACCGGCUAACUACGUG
This 494-nucleotide ribosomal RNA is filed under the name uncultured bacterium. RNAcentral describes it as "partial 16S ribosomal RNA". It matches the Rfam family "Bacterial small subunit ribosomal RNA", at positions 30 to 507 of the family's 1533-position model. The record is from RNAcentral.